AGUGAACGCUGGCGGUAGGCCUAACACAUGCAAGUCGAACGGCAGCACAGUAAGAGCUUGCUCUUACGGGUGGCGAGUGGCGGACGGGUGAGGAAUACAGCGGAAUCUACUUUUUCGUGGGGGAUAACGUAGGGAAACUUACGCUAAUACCGCAUACGACCUACGGGUGAAAGCAGGGGAGCUUCGGACCUUGCGCGAUUGAAUGAGCCGAUGCCGGAUUGGCUAGUUGGCGGGGUAAAGGCCCACCCAGGGGAGGAUCCGUAGCUGGUCUGAGAGGAUGUCCGGCCCCACUGGACCUGGACCACGGCCCAGACUCCUACGGGAGGCACCAUAGGGGAAUUGUGGACAAGGGGGGCAAGCCUUGCCCAACCAUCCGGGGUGGGGUACAACGGCCUCCGGUUGGUAAAGCCCGUUUGUUGGGAAAAAAGAGCAGCAGGUUAAUACCCCGCUGUUGUGACGGUACCCAAAAAAAAAGCACCGGCUAACUUCGUG
Molecule: ribosomal RNA, 492 nt
Filed under: uncultured bacterium
Lineage: Bacteria
Description: partial 16S ribosomal RNA
Rfam family: Bacterial small subunit ribosomal RNA
Source: RNAcentral